RNAcentral lists this ribosomal RNA (465 nucleotides) under uncultured Klebsiella sp. Its description in RNAcentral is "bacterial SSU rRNA". It matches the Rfam family "Bacterial small subunit ribosomal RNA", at positions 338 to 795 of the family's 1533-position model. Lineage: Bacteria; Pseudomonadati; Pseudomonadota; Gammaproteobacteria; Enterobacterales; Enterobacteriaceae. The record is from RNAcentral.
CCUACGGGCGGCAGCAGUGGGGAAUAUUGCACAAUGGGCGCAAGCCUGAUGCAGCCAUGCCGCGUGUGUGAAGAAGGCCUUCGGGUUGUAAAGCACUUUCAGCGGGGAGGAAGGCGGUGAGGUUAAUAACCUCAUCGAUUGACGUUACCCGCAGAAGAAGCACCGGCUAACUCCGUGCCAGCAGCCGCGGUAAUACGGAGGGUGCAAGCGUUAAUCGGAAUUACUGGGCGUAAAGCGCACGCAGGCGGUCUGUCAAGUCGGAUGUGAAAUCCCCGGGCUCAACCUGGGAACUGCAUUCGAAACUGGCAGGCUAGAGUCUUGUAGAGGGGGGUAGAAUUCCAGGUGUAGCGGUGAAAUGCGUAGAGAUCUGGAGGAAUACCGGUGGCGAAGGCGGACCCCUGGACAAAGACUGACGCUCAGGUGCGAAAGCGUGGGGAGCAAACAGGAUUAGAUACCCGUGUAGUC